RNAcentral lists this ribosomal RNA (506 nucleotides) under uncultured bacterium. Its description in RNAcentral is "partial 16S ribosomal RNA". It matches the Rfam family "Bacterial small subunit ribosomal RNA", at positions 28 to 523 of the family's 1533-position model. The record is from RNAcentral.
GAUGAACGCUAGCUACAGGCUUAACACAUGCAAGUCGAGGGGUAACGAGAGGGAAGCUUGCUUUCCUUGUCGACGACCGGCGCACGGGUGAGUAACAAGUAUCCAACCUGCCCCCAACUACGGAAUAACCUUGCGAAAGUAAGACUAAUACCCUAUAAUUUCCUCAGAUGUCAUCUGACGAGGAAUAAAGAUUUAUCGGUUGUGGAUGGGGAUGCUUCUGAUUAGCUUGUUGGCGGGGUAACGGCCCACCAAGGCAACGAUCAGUAGGGGUUCUGAGAGGAAGGUCCCCCACAUUGGAACUGAGACACGGUCCAAACUCCUACGGGAGGCAGCAGUGAGGAAUAUUGGUCAAUGGGCGGAAGCCUGAACCAGCCAAGUAGCGUGCAGGAUGACGGCCCUAUGGGUUGUAAACUGCUUUUAUACAGGAAUAAAGUUAGCCACGUGUGGUUAUUUGUAGGUACUGUAUGAAUAAGGACCGGCUAAUUCCGUGCCAGCCGCCGCCGUAA